UACAGAGGGCGCGAGCGUUGUCCGGAUUUAUUGGGCGUAAAGAGCUCGUAGGCGGUUUGUCGCGUCUGCCGUGAAAGUCCGGGGCUCAACUCCGGAUCUGCGGUGGGUACGGGCAGACUAGAGUGAUGUAGGGGAGACUGGAAUUCCUGGUGUAGCGGUGGAAUGCGUAGAGAUCCGGAGGAAGACCGGUGGCGAAGGCGGCCUGCUGGGCAGUACUGACACUGAGGCGCGACAGCGUGGGGAGCAACAGG
This 251-nucleotide ribosomal RNA is filed under the name uncultured bacterium. Its description in RNAcentral is "partial 16S ribosomal RNA". It matches the Rfam family "Bacterial small subunit ribosomal RNA", at positions 524 to 775 of the family's 1533-position model. The record is from RNAcentral.